RNAcentral lists this ribosomal RNA (253 nucleotides) under uncultured bacterium. RNAcentral's name for it is "partial 16S ribosomal RNA". It matches the Rfam family "Bacterial small subunit ribosomal RNA", at positions 524 to 776 of the family's 1533-position model. The record is from RNAcentral.
UACGUAGGGGGCAAGCGUUACCCGGAUUUACUGGGUGUAAAGGGAGCGUAGACGGCAUGGCAAGCCAGAUGUGAAAUACCGGGGCUCAACCCCGGGACUGCAUUUGGAACUGUUAAGCUGGAGUGUCGGAGAGGCAGGCGGAAUUCCUAGUGUAGCGGUGAAAUGCGUAGAUAUUAGGAGGAACACCAGUGGCGAAGGCGGCCUGCUGGACGAUAACUGACGUUGAGGCUCGAAAGCGUGGGGAGCAAACAGG